Molecule: non-coding RNA, 135 nt
Organism: Podarcis lilfordi (Lilford's wall lizard)
Lineage: Eukaryota; Metazoa; Chordata; Lepidosauria; Squamata; Lacertidae
Source: the annotation of a GenBank genome assembly
GGGAGGUAGGUUAGGGUGAAGAAGAAGAGAAGAGUUUGGAUUUGAUAUCCCGCUUUGAGACUCCUUUGGGUAGUGAUAAAGCGGGAUAUCAAAUCCAAACUCUUCUCUUCUUCUUCACCCUAACCUACCUCACAG